RNAcentral lists this ribosomal RNA (450 nucleotides) under uncultured Glomeromycotina. RNAcentral's name for it is "SSU rRNA". It matches the Rfam family "Eukaryotic small subunit ribosomal RNA", at positions 569 to 1024 of the family's 1831-position model. Lineage: Eukaryota; Fungi; Glomeromycota. The record is from RNAcentral.
AGCAGCCGCGGUAAUUCCAGCUCCAAUAGCGUAUAUUAAAGUUGUUGCAGUUAAAAAGCUCGUAGUUGAAUUUCGGGGUUAGUAGGUUGGUCAUGCCUCUGGUAUGUACUGGUCUCACUGAUUCCUCCUUCCUGAUGAGCCGUAAUGCCAUUAAUUUGGUGUUGCGAGGAAUCUGGACUGUUACUUUGAAAAAUUAGAGUGUUUAAAGCAGGCUAACGCUUGAAUACAUUAGCAUGGAAUAAUGAAAUAGGACGUUCGAUCUUAUUUUGUUGGUUUCUAAGAUUGACGUAAUGAUUAAUAGGGAUAGUUGGGGGCAUUAGUAUUCAAUUGUCAGAGGUGAAAUUCUUGGAUUUAUUGAAGACUAACUACUGCGAAAGCAUUUGCCAAGGAUGUUUUCAUUAAUCAAGAACGAAAGUUAGGGGAUCGAAGACGAUCAGAUACCGUCGUAGU